GGAGUCAGUGGGAAAUGAGGCUGGGCCAAGCCAGGACCAAGCUGUGGGGUGCUUGAGGUGGUUGGAGGGAAUGCAGGGGCAGCUGGUAACAGGGGUGACAAAGGGUGUAUUUGCAGGUGGGAGACCUGCCACCAGCAGUCAUCCCAGUGCACAUGGCAGUGGUGGGCUGCCCCAUCAGCUCCCAGCGGACCACCUCUUACAUGGCUGACAAGUCACAGAAGGAGCCCAUCAUCAGGUUUGGGACCCAGGUCUCUGGAGGAGACACAAUCACACGGAAACUUCGCCUGAAUAACUCCAGCCCCUGUGACAUUCGCCUAGACUGGGUCACCUAUGUUCCAGAAGAUAAGGAGGAUAAGCUGGUGGACCUGCUAGUGUUUUAUGGACCACCAUUCCCACUGCGGGAUCAAGCUGGAAAUGAGAUUGUGUACCCUGAGACCCCCGAGAGCAGCAGCUUACCCUGGUCCCCAAGCCCCUCCAGCAUGUCCGAGUCCAGCCAUGCAGCUGCUUUUCCAGUAGAGGCCUACUCCAAUGCCAGCAACAGGGCUGCAGCACAGAUCAUCUCAGUUGUCCUGCAGGAGCAUGAGGGGGUGCCCUCCGACCUCCCCUACUGUAUCAGACCCCAGCAGGUGGUGAGUCCAGGUGGACCUGUCUCUGGGGGUCUGCCCUGGCCUCCCAGCAGGCACAGGGCAGUGCUGAGGCUGCUGUGUCCAUGCCAGGUGGUCCCUGCUGGGGGAAGUAGCACCAUCUACAUCUCCUUCACACCUCCGGUGCUCAGCUCCGACAUCCAGCAGAAGGUGGAGUGUACUGGCUACGCCCUGGGUUUCAUGAGCUUGGACAAUGAGGUGAACGUCCUGGGGUGGGGACCAUAG
RNAcentral lists this long non-coding RNA (869 nucleotides) under Ictidomys tridecemlineatus (thirteen-lined ground squirrel). Its description in RNAcentral is "lncRNA (ENSSTOG00000029368.1)". The record is from RNAcentral. Lineage: Eukaryota; Metazoa; Chordata; Mammalia; Rodentia; Sciuridae.